GGUAGGUUUAGAGAUAGGGGUAGGGGUAGGGGUAGGGUUAGGGGUAGGGUUAGGAAUAGGGUUAGGGUUACCAUACCCCCUACCCUAACCCUAACCCUACUCCAACCACUAACCCUAACCCUACCCCAACCA
This is a non-coding RNA of Pelobates cultripes (western spadefoot toad), 132 nucleotides long. NCBI's taxonomy places the organism in Eukaryota, Metazoa, Chordata, Amphibia, Anura, Pelobatidae. The record is from the annotation of a GenBank genome assembly.